UAUGGGAGAUGCCAGUGCCAUGGGAUGACCACCAAGGACAGUAGCUGUCCUGGAAUGGAGCUAGGCUGAGCCUAGAAGACAAGCUGUGUGCUGCAGAGGUGGAGAGAGAAGUGGUCCAUUCCUUAGAGGAGCCCGGAAGACUGUGAGCAGAUCCCAAGCACUGGGCCCGGCUUAUUUAUGCUAUCAGACUUUGGAUUUGCUUUGUUCAGGAAUCUAACUUGAGGAAGUAAUUGGAGAUGCUUUCAAAGAUGUUUUAAGCAAGUUUUAUUGAGACAUUAUGUGUAACAGUAAAAGCAAUGAGUGUCCAGCCUGAGAAGACACAAGGUUAAGGUUCCAGAGCUCUGCCCAAAGUUUGGCUGUGAGUCUCUGCAUCUGCUCUAUCUCGUGAUGUUUAUCCACACUCCAUCAGAACGGC
This is a long non-coding RNA of Microtus oregoni (creeping vole), 415 nucleotides long. RefSeq lists it as uncharacterized. NCBI's taxonomy places the organism in Eukaryota, Metazoa, Chordata, Mammalia, Rodentia, Cricetidae. The transcript has 3 exons. The record is from RefSeq and is a predicted model, not a curated record.